UAAUACGGAGGGUGCAAGCGUUAUCCGGAAUCAUUGGGUUUAAAGGGUCCGCAGGCGGAUUUAUAAGUCAGUGGUGAAAGCCCGUCGCUUAACGACGGAACUGCCAUUGAUACUGUAAGUCUUGAAUUCGAUCGAAGUGGGCGGAAUAUGACAUGUAGCGGUGAAAUGCUUAGAUAUGUCAUAGAACACCGAUAGCGAAGGCAGCUCACUAGGUCUGGAUUGACGCUCAGGGACGAAAGCGUGGGGAGCAAACAGGAUUAGAUACCCUGGUAGUCCACGCCGUAAACUAUCAAUACUCGUUCUCGGGACUUUAGUGUUUCGGGGACUAAGCGAAAGUGAUAAGUAUUGCACCUGGGGAGUACGAUCGCAAGGUUG
This 375-nucleotide ribosomal RNA is filed under the name uncultured bacterium. RNAcentral's name for it is "bacterial SSU rRNA". It matches the Rfam family "Bacterial small subunit ribosomal RNA", at positions 521 to 896 of the family's 1533-position model. The record is from RNAcentral.